UUUUGCUUGCCUUCUCGCGAUGCCGAUCCCUGGAGUUACAGAGCACGCCCACAACGCGGAAAGAAAAGCAAUAGAUGGCAACGAAGACACCCGCUCUUUGCGCCUCGCCCGCAACCCCCUUUCCCCAGUGGACGGGAAGCAGAGGAACCCUUCUCAUGCAUUCGCGCACGCACAUACCCUGUGUGUGCCAUACGCUUGACUGGAGGCCAUGCGUCUUGCGCUGUCUCUUGACGGCACUUCUUUUUCCUUGUGCUCUCUUCUCCUGGCGGGGGCGGCGUUUCGUUCUGCCCCUUACGCUCUCGAUCCGCCACUUGCACACUACACAGGAGAUCGACAACAAAGCGCAUCGGCACCAACGGCAUGAGCGGCGCUAGCCCAGAAAGUACUCGCGCGCUGGCCAGCGAACCUUCCGUGAAGGAAAUGCCUAUCGGCGAGCGUUUCUUCGAGGCCCUCUUCGGCUUUGCGGAGGGCGACUACGUUGCCACACGACGUUCCCUCUUUCAAAACUGCACCUUUGAGGCGGUGCGCGCCAACAAGUCGAGCGGCCACAACCGCGUGCGCAAGGAGCGGGCCUUGUUUCACCACCCGCGCGUGGCAGGCGGCCUCCCCGUCAGCAGCGGCUGGCAUUCCACGCCAAGGGUUGCCGAUCUUCGCACGGAAACGACGGCGGCCGUGCGCACGUUUGACGAGAAGUACCCAGGGCUGCUCGUGAAACUAGCAGCCGCUAGAAUUAGCUCUUGCGAGAUGUCCAUACCACCGUCGCCCGUGACGUGCGUACAUGUCGCGGGCGACGCUGGGCGGAUGCACAGCCUCACGGUGAAUGGCGUCUUUCAGGUCGCCAGCCAGUUCAACCUGCUCGAGUUCUCGUCGUCUGAAAUUUCACCGGAGCACGGCGUGCGUCACUACGCGCAUUAUCCGACCCAGGGGCCGGCGUGUGCCUUGGCGUGCAUGGCUGGUACUGUCUAUCGUAACUACCUUCUACAUCCCGACUUCUUUGGAGCCACGGAUGCGGCGGCUUUCACGGAAAAUGCUGAUGUGGCCGACCGUGGACAGCAAACAGAUCGCCAGCUGAACAUGCUGGACGAACUUGUCGAUUACCUCACCCGUGCGCGCAGCAGUGGUGACGCUACCUCUGCUACGGAUGCCGCUUAUUCCGCUGCUUGCAGCGCGCCUGCGCUGCCGCGGGAACACUUCUUCACGAUCCGAAACGGGUACUUCUUUCUGAAACGGCAAAUGGCCUCGCUGCCUGCGCGAUUGCAUCGCAUCGCCGCCGUCGAAGGGAUCUCGAUGGCAGAUGUCGAGGAGGAGUUGGCGUCGCGUCUUCGCAUUGGACUGGUGGAAGAUGCCACCGUGACGCUGCCUCUGCACGACCCGCCUGUCUUCCGCGUUCGUGAGCAGCGCCAACUCACCGAUCAAGCGGAGCGAAAAGUUGUGUGCAGAUUGGAUGCAGAUGUUGCUGCUGAGGUGGAGGUUCAUGAAGUGACUCAGACGUACAACAGUGCCUUGAGCCUGCCCUCGAAGGACUAUUGCACGCCACUGGAGUGGAUUGGCAUUGCCACUCUCUCCCGCAUCAUCUUACGCGGCACGUACGAGGCCACGCUCCUGGUCGGCGUUCAGCACACCCUCCGUGAUUUGGAGCGGCAGGCCAGCUUGGCGGUCGCGUCUUCGCCAGCGACGCCGCCCUUUUCGCUACCGCCCAUCUUUCUCACCAAGGUGGGCGGCGGUGCCUUCAACAACGAUAAGGAGUGGAUUGCCUCUGGGAUCGCGUCAGCGGUGCACCGCGUAGCCGCGCUCAGAGUACCGCUCAACGUGCGACUCGUGCACUUUCGCCGGAUGGAUGAGUACUACAUGAGAUACUUUCCAUCGUGGCCUGUGCUGGACUGAAUCGCGCGUGCGUCACGCCACUCGUGUACGUAGGACGGGAGACAGGAAACACCACGUAGAGGGUGCGGACACAUCUAGUUCUCGUGUAGCGUACUUUUCUAUUUCUCAUGCGCGCAUCUGUGCUUGUUUGCGUGUAUGUGUGUGUAUGUCCCUCUCUCUCUGCGCGCACGUACACCGUCUUGCAGCUCACCCCGCUGGUGGGCACGCGGACGCGUCUUCCCUUUUUUCCCUCUUGCGCCCUUUGCCCUAUGUUGUUUUUCACCAUCACCCGGAGCGCGCUCUUCGCGACAACGCGACUUGCAUUUUUCCUCUUCAAAGUCUUGCCUUACAGAGUGUCGUAGGCGUCGUGUUGUCUCGCCUGCAUUGCGGAGUCGUUUGCCCGCGUUCUGGGGGACUCUGCUGCCGCGCGUGUUUCUCGUGCAAAAACCUAAACUCUGACAUUAUCCUUCCCUUCCCCCCUCUUUCACACCCGAGGCCGAACGCCCUUUGUGCGUGUCGGAGGACGUUUCCCACUCCCACACCCCCGCAGCCCUCUCUCUCUAACACGCCUCCGAUACACGUGCACAGGUACACAGGCACACGCGCUCUCCUUUCUUUUUUCUAAAUGUAGCGAACCCACGAAGCAAGACACGCCAUUUUUUUUUUCGCUUGUUGGUUUCGUGCCUCCUUCCAGUACAACGACACAGACGGCGAGCGAGGUGGACGCAGUGUCGGCGCGCAUUUUCCGUUUUUCUCUUGUCUUUUGCUCCCCCUUUAGCGGUCUUCUCAUUUUCGUUUGAGUCGAACGUGUACACGCGCGCGUGUGUUUGUGUGGUUUACUUCUGCCGGCUCCACGUUGGCGCCGGCAAACACACGCGGACAUGUACACCCAUGCGAGAAGCAACCACGCCGCCUUUCUCCACUGUCUCUUAUCAUCGCACCUUCCCCUCUUCCCCUCUUCCCUCCCUCUACUCCACCCACCACUCGCCCACGACAACCCUCUCCUCUCUCUCCCGAGAAGAACUGUGCUUGCGGGGUGCCGCAAAAAAUCGUGCCCCCCCCCCCUCCUCUCUCGCUCUAUAUUUUCCUGGAAGCCACGCGAGAUUGUCGCCGUACGCCAACCAAGAGCCGAAGCG
Molecule: unclassified non-coding RNA, 2999 nt
Filed under: Leishmania donovani
Lineage: Eukaryota; Euglenozoa; Kinetoplastea; Trypanosomatida; Trypanosomatidae
Description: gene:LdHU3.28.0880(CDS-product:hypothetical_prote in_conserved)
Source: RNAcentral